Molecule: long non-coding RNA, 1199 nt
Filed under: Athene cunicularia (burrowing owl)
Lineage: Eukaryota; Metazoa; Chordata; Aves; Strigiformes; Strigidae
Description: lncRNA (ENSACUG00000014610.1)
Source: RNAcentral
GGGACAUCGGAGCGACCAGAGGGGACACAGCCCCUGCUGCCUCCGGGACUUGAAAGAGCAGCUCCAAGCUUGGCGACGGCUCCGUGCCUCCAGCCGAAGGCGUGUGGCCGCCCUGCUGCCUUGGCUGCGGCUGGAACGAAUGCAUGCACAUACCUCUGCCCCGGCACGGGUGUUUGCUCUUCUCUUCCGCGGCUGUGAUUGAUUAAAGGAUCAGGGACAUCUGAGAAUGGAGGCAGCAGCGGCAGCAGCAGAAGCAGCUCCCUUUGGACUUGGAGAGCUUCCUUGCCUGCUGCUUGCUGCUGCCGUUGCCUGUCAGGCAGCUUUUAAUCAAGGUUUGCUUAUAUCUGCAAAGGCCUUUCCCAGAGGGAUGAAGGGAGGAAAAGAGGGGGGGAGAGUAUAUUAACAUGCCAGCCACCCUCCCUCUCCCUCUCCUUUGUUUAUGGAGAGGGUCAGUGCUUGGAAACGGUUGGCGGGGACAGGGAAAGGCGCUUUGGGGGUGCUGGUGGCACGGUGCAGCUCUUGGCAUGUCCAGGUAUCGUGGCGUAGCCACAGGGAGGGAGGGCACUGACACCCAGUCAGGAUGCGCUCAGGGAUGGCAAUGGCACGUGGAGGGACCAGGACCUGAAAGCCAGGGCUCACCAGGGCUCAGUGGCUUCCUCCAGGAGGCCCUGGGCAGGUGGCAUGUCCCCACAGGUGCUGUGGUGGACAUGGCAGGGAGACCCCACACACCCCCAAGUCGGGGUCUCAGCCUGGACAGACCAAUGCCAUCCAUACGCCGGACUGGCACCAUCCAUACACCAAGACCGGCCAUGCGGGGGGAACCCAGGCCCCUCCAUCCCUCCCCCAGCCCUGCGCAAUGUCAGGGUCCCUCAUCCUACGGCAGAGCCCCAGGGUGGCCAUGUCACAACACCCCACGUCCCUCCUGCAGCACAGGCCUGAUCAGUGAUAUCGGCACUGCAGAGGGACCAGCGCCAGCCCCAAACCUGCCCCGCAGCACCCCAGGAAUGGAUUUACCCCCCCGACACUGGGAUUUCAGCACGGCACUGGGAGCAGCCCUGGCAGCACCCACCACACCACCGUCACCUGCUGCAGCCACCACCAGAGCCCCUGCACACCCCUGCAAGUGGUGUGGGGGGACAGGUGACCCCCAGCCCCACGUCCCCCCAUCAAGCGAGGUGUCUGCCUCUGCUGCCAUUCGC